RNAcentral lists this ribosomal RNA (460 nucleotides) under uncultured bacterium. RNAcentral's name for it is "partial 16S ribosomal RNA". It matches the Rfam family "Bacterial small subunit ribosomal RNA", at positions 338 to 795 of the family's 1533-position model. The record is from RNAcentral.
CCUACGGGAGGCAGCAGUGAGGAAUAUUGGUCAAUGGCCGGAAGGCUGAACCAGCCAUGCCGCGUGAAGGUCAGUGCCCUAUGGGCGUUAAACUUCUUUUGUGCGGGAGCAAUAAUGGUCACGUGUGGCCAGACGAGAGUACCGUACGAAUAAGCAUCGGCUAACUCCGUGCCAGCAGCCGCGGUAAUACGGGGGAUGCAGGCGUUAUCCGGGUUUAUUGGGUUUAAAGGGUGCGUAGGCUGGGAGGUAAGUCAGCGGUGAAAUGCCCGCGCUCAACGGGGUGAAGUGCCAUUGAUACUGCCUUGCUGGAAUGCGGAUGCCGUGGGAGGAAUGUGUGGUGUAGCGGUGAAAUGCAUAGAUAUCACACAGAACACCGAUUGCGAAGGCAGCUCACGAAUCCGCGAUUGACGCUGAUGCACGAAAGCGUGGGUAUCAAACAGGAUUAGAUACCCGAGUAGUC